This 410-nucleotide long non-coding RNA is filed under the name Olea europaea (common olive). RNAcentral describes it as "long non-coding RNA (OEUR_LNC010506)". The record is from RNAcentral. Lineage: Eukaryota; Viridiplantae; Streptophyta; Magnoliopsida; Lamiales; Oleaceae.
ACGCGAUAACCCAAUGAUUUGUCCAGGUCAACAACCAGUUCGGGUAUGAUAAGUAUUGUGUUGACACAGCUUGAUGCUUACACAGUUUUGAAAAGCAUUUAUAAUCGAGCUAUGCCAGUUGAUCUUUUAGCUAUGCUUAUGAUCUUAUGAUGGUCAAAUCGGAUGUUUGCAUAUUGCUUCCCAAAUCAGGAUCUGCCUCGUCUUUCCGCAGGAUUAAGUCACAUUAUGUAUUUUGUCUUGCAAGACACCAUUUUGUGCCAAUGCCUCAAUCUUAAUGACCAACCUGGAACAUCCUAUCGAUGGAUGAGUGACCGCUUAGACCCUUCUAUUAUCAGGGACGGAGUGUACUGAUGUGAAGCGAGACUUAUUAUGUGGGGUGAGGUGCUAUUACUUAAUGCUCUUGUUGUCCG